GACGAACGCUGGCGGCGUGCCUAAUACAUGCAAGUAGAACGCUGAAGGAGGAGCUUGCUUCUCUGGAUGAUUUGCGAACGGGUGAGUAACGCGUAGGUAACCUGCCUGGUAGCGGGGGAUAACUAUUGGAAACGAUAGCUAAUACCGCAUAAGAGUAGAUGUUGCAUGACAUUUGCUUAAAAGGUGCAAUUGCAUCACUACCAGAUGGACCUGCGUUGUAAUAGGUAGUUGGUGGGGUAACGGCUCACCAAGGCGACGAUACAUAGCCGAACUGAGAGGGGGGUCGGCCAAAACGGGAAUGGGACCACGCCCAGGACUCUAAGGGAGGCAGCAGUAGGGAAUCUUUGGCAAAUGGCGGAAGUCUGACCGAGCAACGCCGCGGGAGUGAAGAAGGUUUUCGGAUCGUAAAGCUCUGUUGUAAGAGGAGAACGAGUGUGAGAGUGGAAAGUUCACACUGUGACGGUACCUAAUCAGAAAGGGACGGCUAACUACGUG
This 495-nucleotide ribosomal RNA is filed under the name uncultured bacterium. RNAcentral's name for it is "partial 16S ribosomal RNA". It matches the Rfam family "Bacterial small subunit ribosomal RNA", at positions 28 to 507 of the family's 1533-position model. The record is from RNAcentral.